UGCUGUGAACCGUGAGGAAAUCGUCUCCCCUUGCGGAUCCUGCGAAAUACCCAACAAAGGAG
This 62-nucleotide non-coding RNA is filed under the name unclassified sequences. RNAcentral's name for it is "L20-Deltaproteobacteria ribosomal protein leader". It matches the Rfam family "L20-Deltaproteobacteria ribosomal protein leader". The record is from RNAcentral.